Molecule: ribosomal RNA, 421 nt
Filed under: uncultured eukaryote
Lineage: Eukaryota
Description: bacterial SSU rRNA
Rfam family: Eukaryotic small subunit ribosomal RNA
Source: RNAcentral
CAAUAGCGUAUAUUAAAGUUGUUGCGGUUAAAAAGCUCGUAGUUGGAUUUCUGCCGAGGACGACCGGUCCGCCCUCUGGGUGAGUAUCUGGCUCGGCCUGGGCAUCUUCUUGGAGAACGUAUCUGCACUUGACUGUGUGGUGCGGUAUCCAGGACUUUUACUUUGAGGAAAUUAGAGUGUUUCAAGCAGGCAUACGCCUUGAAUACAUUAGCAUGGAAUAAUAGUACAGGACUCUUGGUUCAAUGCUGUUGGUUUGUUGAGCUAGAGUAAUCAAAAUAAGGAUAGUUGGGGGUAUUCGUAUUUAACUGUCAGAGGUGAAAUUCUUGGAUUUUUUAAAGACGAACAAUUGCGAAGGCAUCUACCCAGGAUGUUUUGUUGAUCAAGAACGAAAGUUAGGGGAUCGAAGACGAUCAGAUACCGU